UACGGAGGGUGCGAGCGUUAAUCGGAAUAACUGGGCGUAAAGGGCACGCAGGCGGGUUUUUAAGUGAGAUGUGAAAUCCCCGGGCUUAACCUUGGAAUAGCAUUUCAGACUGUGAGUCUGGAGUACUUUAGGGAGGGGUAGAAUUCCACGUGUAGCGGUGAAAUGCGUAGAGAUGUGGAGGAAUACCGAAGGCGAAGGCAGCCCCUUGGGAUUGUACUGACGCUCAGGUGCGAAAGCGUGGGGAGCAAACAGG
Molecule: ribosomal RNA, 253 nt
Filed under: uncultured bacterium
Lineage: Bacteria
Description: partial 16S ribosomal RNA
Rfam family: Bacterial small subunit ribosomal RNA
Source: RNAcentral